Molecule: long non-coding RNA, 1131 nt
Filed under: Oryctolagus cuniculus (rabbit)
Lineage: Eukaryota; Metazoa; Chordata; Mammalia; Lagomorpha; Leporidae
Description: lncRNA (ENSOCUG00000037224.1)
Source: RNAcentral
GCCAAGGGAAGUGCAAGCAAUUGCUGGAAACUCUGGGCUGAAAUCUCAUCUAUGCUGUCAUCAUUGUGCUGCAUCACCCUCCUGCAAGCGGCUGUCCUGAGAGAGUGGUCCUGGGGCUCAGCAAGUGGUCCGGGGCUCAGCAAAUUUUCCAACCCAGGCCGGGGGAGAAGAACAGCCAGCGCUCCUGACAGGUGGUAGGUCCUGGAUGAGGAAAUAGACGCACCACAUUCCACGGCAGGAGCACACCUGUGCAGUUAGCAGGAUGAGCAGUUUCCGGCCCUCGCUUCACCCCAGACAAGGCUGGAGACAGAAGAUUCAGUUGGAGGAGGGGAGGACUUACAAAAGCUCAGUGAGGAAGACGAAAUGCAAAAAGUUUAUUUGGGUGCAAAACAUUCUGAGAUCUGUGCACACAAGAGGUCUUCAAAAAGUUCAUGGAAUAUGCAUGUUAAGAAGAAAACUAUGAAAUGUUUUGCAGCAAAAUAAAGCUAAUUUAAGUCUCUUUCCAGUUGUCCAUAGACUGUUGAAGUUCUCGCAUAGACUGCAGCUGCUGUGGCGUCUCUGUGGGACUCUGCUUGUCCCUUCCAUCUGUUGUAGCCCACGACUUCCAGGUCUGCUGGUUCUAUGGGCCUGGGAGAGGGGGCUCCGGCGGCUUCAGCUGAGGUGGGGUGGGACUGCCACACAGGCUUUCUCCAGAGGGAGAUGAACCAUGCUCAUUACAGGCUGCCCUUCUUGAAGCCCCCGCAGCCCCUGGGAGGCAGAAGCCCUUCCUCCCAAGGCUCCCCAGGCUGCCCCAGAAGGGAGCAGUGCUGCUUUUGCAACUGCAGUGGCAACCAUCCAGACAUUGCAGCCCCAGGGAGACAGCCUGCUGGCCAAGUAAGUGGAGGAAGCAAGUCAGGCUUCUCGACCUUGCAGCUCAUUUAUCCCAAGCACCAAAUGUCCAACUACUCAACAGUGACCCAGGGAAUUCUGACAGCAGGUGUAUGGGAAGUGACCCGCUCAGGAGGAAGGCCGAGCCAAGAGGAAGUCUUCAGGGAGCAGCUGCUAUUCCAUGAGCAUCGCAGAGGGCAAGCUAAAACCACUGCUGUCCAGGAACAAGGAGCUGGCUUAGAUUCUGGCUCCAUCAGUCACUAG